This 481-nucleotide ribosomal RNA is filed under the name uncultured bacterium. RNAcentral describes it as "partial 16S ribosomal RNA". It matches the Rfam family "Bacterial small subunit ribosomal RNA", at positions 28 to 507 of the family's 1533-position model. The record is from RNAcentral.
GACGAACGUUGGCGGCGUGCUUAAUACAUGCAAGUCAACUGAAGCAGUGGUAGCAAUAUCGCUGUGGAGGUGGCGCACGGGUGAGUAACACGUAGGUAAUCUGCCUUCAGGUCUGGCAUAACUCCGGGAAACCGGGGCUAAUAGCAGAUGAUGCAGCGGCUCGACAUCGAGACAGUUGUUAAAGCUAUGGCGCCUGAAGAUGAGCCUGCGUCUGAUUAGCUAGUUGGCGGGGUAACGGCCCACCAAGGCAACGAUCAGUAGCUGGUCUGAGAGGAUGAUCAGCCACACUGGAACUGAGACACGGUCCAGACUCCUACGGGAGGCAGCAGUAAGGAAUAUUGCUCAAUGGGAGAAAUCCUGAAGCAGCAACGCCGCGUGAGGGACGACGGGCUUUUGCUUGUAAACCUCUGUAGUGAGAGAAAAAAAUCCCAAUCUUUGGGACAUGAUGGUAUCUCAAAAGUAAGCCCCGGCUAACUACGUG